This 7424-nucleotide long non-coding RNA is filed under the name Citrus maxima (pomelo). RNAcentral describes it as "long non-coding RNA (CMAX_LNC003227)". The record is from RNAcentral. Lineage: Eukaryota; Viridiplantae; Streptophyta; Magnoliopsida; Sapindales; Rutaceae.
UGUUUUCGGUCAUUUCAAUGUGUUAACACUCACUGACUCACAUCGGAAAGACCAAUAAAUAUCCAUGAAAAUGGGACAUGGCUACGGUGCAGAAGCUGCAAGUAACAGCUUCGAACCUUCUCAUUUCCAUAACCUUGCGUUGGGACCUCUUUCUCUCUCCUCUAGCACCCGUGAAAGUUUCUCAUUGGCUGCUGUUACUUACAGAAGCCGUAACAUAAAUGAUUCCGAACUGCCCAUUUCGUGCCCCUCUAACAGAGUCGGGAGAAUUGUGUGGGAUGUACCCUAUUCCCUUCAAAAUACCCAAUAUAUACCUAAAAUUAUAACACUCUUAAAUUUUACACAUAUAUACUCUAAAAAAUUAGAGAAAGUAUAAAAAUAACCACAACUAAAUCCUCAUAAAACUAAACCCAACUCCUUAAAAUCGGGUAAAUAGUCGAGAAUACUCGACUUCAAUCAAAUCAUACAUAAUUAAUAAUUCAGCAUAAAUUCUUGACUUUUUCAUGUUAGUCGGAUAAAUAGUCGAGAAUACUCGACUUCAAUUGAAAAAAAAAAUUAUCUAAAAAAUUCUCGAUUUUUUUAAGUAAGUUGAGUAAAAAGUCGAGAAUACCCUACUUUAAUUUAACUCUACCCAAUAUUCAUUCAGCAAAAAUUCUUGACUUUUCAUUGAAGUUCGGUAAUUGGUUGAGAAUACUCGACUUAAAUUGAAAUGAAAAUUUUUUUUUUAAUUAAGUCAGGUAAAAGGUCGAGUAUACUCAAUUUUGGUUGUGUUAUUAUGUAGAAGUCAUGAGAGAGGAAGUAAAAGUAAAUAAAUGAUUUUUUUAGGUUAUUUUUGAUUUUUUACACUUUUAGGAGGUAUAUGUAUGUAAUGGGGUAUAGAUUUGGCAUUUAAAGACAAAUAGGGUAUAUUUAAAUAAAAAACCCAUAACAGUCAAACGUUCACAUUAGGGACGUGGUUCACAUCCCCUACAUUCAUCUGGAUCUAAUUAUAAAUACAAACCCCACGAAGCAAGAGUCAUUUCAUUUCAGUUGCGAGAGCAGAGCUUAGAGAAAAAAAAAAAAGAAAAUGGCAAAAAGCGACGUGAAGGUUUUGGGUGCGUGGCCAAGCCCAUUUGUGAUGAGGGCAAGAAUCGCACUUAAGAUCAAGUCUGUGGAGUAUGAGUUUCUGGAGGAGAAUUUGGGAUCCAAAAGCGAGCUUCUGCUUAAAUCAAACCCUGUUCACAAGAAAAUCCCAGUUCUGAUUCACAAUGAUAAGCCUGUUUGCGAAUCUCUCAUCAUUGUCGAGUACGUGGAUGAGGCUUGGUCCUCUUCAGGUCCCUCUAUUCUUCCUUCUGAUCCUUAUGACCGUGCCGUUGCUCGUUUCUGGGCCGCUUAUGUUGAUGAGAAGGUACAGUUUCCUUUCUUUGUUUUGUAGAAGAUGUUUUAAGUCAAUUCUUUUUAUUCGAAUUAUGUGCAUCUAAAAUUUUUUAAAACUUUUUCAGUUUUGAAAACUGUUUUCGGAAAUUAAUAGUCUCUCUUGUUAAAUCAAAGAGGUAAAGUGUGUGAUUGGAAUUAUUUCCGGUGGAAAAAUGAACUUGAAAAGAAAACUAAAGAAAGAUUAAGAAAGCAGAGCCCAAGAGGAAAACAAUCAAUAGAAUCUGGAAGUUUGAUUUUUCAUAAAACGGGCUUUCUAGAGACCCCCAAUAACCAAUUCUCGCAUUAAUUGCUAAGGAGCACUUUCAAGUCUCUCGACUCCCGAGCCUCCUAAGCCUUGUCCUUAAAACUAUCGUUCGAUAAAUCGAACGCUAGACGAACAGAAAGCAGGUAAGCCCUUAAAAGAAAAGCUUUGAAGGUAACUGUGCCAAGUAUGGGCUCACGCUCUUCGCAGGCUCCGGCCUCUUUAGGGUUUGGGCAUACUAAGUAUGUAGCAGAGCCCAAAAGGAAAACGAUCAAUAGAAUCUAGAAGUAAAUCUGGAGAAGUGACAUAUACUCACAUAUCUAAGGAAAUAAAUAUAUAUGAAUCUUAAGAGAUGAUACUGAUAGAGAUUGGAGAGAUAGCAAGAACGAAUCUUUAACUUGACAUAAAGCAUAUAAGAAUCAAUUGGUAGUGAUUGAAAUCUCGCCUUGAUUGAUCAAAUUAUGAUAUAUCUAUUAUGAUUUGCAGUUGUUCCCUGCCUUGAAAAGCAUUGGUAGUGGAGAUGGAGCGGAAGCUAAGAAAGCUGCGAUUGAGCAAUUGAUUGAAGGCUUGGUUUUGCUGGAGGAUGCUUUUGUUAAGUGUAGCAAAGGGAAGCCUUUCUUUGGUGGAAGCCAAAUUGGGUUUCUUGACAUUGCAUUUGGUUGCUACUUGGGAUGGGUGAGAGUGACAGAGAAAAUGAAUGAGGUGAAGCUCCUUGAUGAAGUCAAAACUCCUGGACUGUUCAAAUGGGCUGAGAGAUUCUGUGCUGAUGCCGCUGUCAAAGAUGUUAUGCCUGAGACUGAUAAGCUUGCAGAGUUUGCUAAGGUUCUUGCCAAACUCAGAGCUUCUGGCAAAUGGAAUUAAGAAGCUUAAUUCUGUGCCUGGAGGGGCACAAAAAAAAAGAAAAAGAAAAAAAAAAGAGUUGUUUCCAGAAAUAAAUUCGAAUAAGGAUUAAGUUUUGUUUUUGGUUUAGUUUGGAACGGUAAAGCCUGUAUCAUUUGGGUUCUGUUAUCGGGCUAGGCAGCAGCCUCUCUCGUGUCUCCUAAAAUUGAAAUUCCUUUCAGUCAUCUGCUGCAAAGAGCUCAUUAUCUAUACUCAUGUAUACCAAGUGAAGGUAUAAAGGUUACUGUGUUGUUUUUCUCCGCAGAAUUUUUUCCCACAUACGGUACACAUCUGGGCUACGUGCCAUAUUCGUUGUUAUAAAAGUUAUCGUAUUAUGUAACGGUGGAAUUCCCGCAUGGCAUUUUGCAAGAAUUAACGAUUUUCGAACUCAAUAAUCUUAAAUAUUUGAGUUGCAAUCUGAAUUCUGUUGCACUUAUCAAUUGAAUAGUAUAAUAGAGGAAUAAAUAAUUUUGUAUUUAUCAUUCCAUAGAUGAGUAAUACAUGGUAUCAAAAUUUUAAGUUAGAAUUUAAAUAUUAAAAUCUGUUUGGGCAUAUGGCUAAAAUCAAUUCACAAUCUUUAUCAUCCUAAAAUGAGACUUUGGCGACGAGCACACUGCUGGACAAAGUAGUUAUUAAUAAUCAUAUCAAAACUGAUUAAAAUGACCAUCAAACAUGUGUUGAUUGAAUAAAUUGUGUGCAGAAUUUGAUAUUCUGUUAUUCUCUUUCCCAGAAAUCAAUUCUUAACACCACCACCACACCAGAACUGUAUACAUUUCACUAGUUUCAGUCAACCGAAACGGCCGGUAAAAUACGGUCUGUAUACCCGGCCCUACCCUGAGGCCCAACUCGUCCUGACUUCGUCGGACCCUAACCAAAGUUAUUAAACAAGAAGCUGCGCUAAGCCACCGAGAGUCUGAGACUGCAGCGCCAGUCCCCAUUUAAACGGGAAAAACAAAAAAAAGAGAGAAAAAAUGGCAACACUGAAGAAAAUCCCUUUGGUUCUGAUGGGAUGCGGAGGCGUCGGACGCCAGCUCCUCCAGCACAUUGUUUCCUGCCGAUCACUUCAUGCCAAUCUGGUACUCCUUCUCUACUUUCCAAAGUUUAUUAGCGCCCCCAAAUUAACUAAUUAAUUAAUUAUUUAGUAGCUAUAUAUUCAUUAAUUAUUACAUGUCGGAGAUGUAUUCUUUUGAUAUGAAUGUGCCUGUCUUCUAAUAAACUCGUCGAUGAUUCUGUUUCUAUAGAAGACUGGUAAAUUUGUUUUAACUGUAACACUUCAUGAUUGAUGAUCGGUCGGCACGGCAGGGGGUGCAUUUGCGAGUGGUAGGAGUAAGUGACAGCAAGUCAUUGGUUGUUGCGUCGGAUGUUUUCACAAAGGAGUUCAACGAUAACCUCUUAUCAGAAAUUUGUCGCCUCAAGGCGGACCACUCUUCUCUCUCAACGCUUAUUAGUGGUUUCGGAGGUAAUCCUCUUGUAUUGUAUUGUUGAGGAUUUAAUAGAUUACUUAUUCUGUUUAUUUCUCAUGCUUUUGCUUUUCUUUUGAUUCUUUAUCAAAGGUGAAUGCCAAGUGUUUCUCGAUUCUGAUUUGAGAGGAAAGUUAUCAGAAAUUGCAUCUCUUCUGGGUAUAUCAACAGGUUCGUCUUCGUGACAAAUUACUAUCUUACCGGCCUUUAUACUUCUUUUGAAACACUGAUUAGUUUUUCAAUCAAUUGAAGUUUCAUGUUUGUUUUUAGAGUUUAGUGAUUCUUAUCAUUCAUUCACCUCAAGCAAGGUCAUUUCAAGCUUGGUCUUUUGCUUAAUCUUGCAACAGGUUUGGCCUUUGUUGAUUGCUCUGCCAGUUCUGAGACUGUUGAAAUAUUAACUCAAGCAGUUGAUUUGGGUUGUUGCAUUGUCUUGGCAAACAAGAAGCCUCUUAUGUCUACAAUGGUAAUAACUCUACAAGGCUUCCUUAUUUGGUUGUAACUGGACUUAGUUGGACAUGUAUAGUCAUCCUAUGGCCAUUCCAUGAUCAACCACUAACAGACUUAAUUCUGGAGAUGGCGACACUUCCUGCUGUCAUUAAAUGCUGCAAUGCCAUUUCUUUUGUGGCCAAUUCGAACAUUCUAUAUUUUUACCAUUUAAGAUGAAUUACGUUUGGUGUUUAAUUCUUUUAAAAUUAAAAAUGACAAAUUUUCAUUGAGCAAUUUAGUGCAAUAUUAAUGUUUUUGAAUUUUUUUACCAACCUCAUGCUAUUCUGUAAUGUAGGAGGAUUAUGACAAAUUGGUCUCACAUCCACGCUGUAUUCGGUAUGAGUCAACUGUAAGUGAAGUUUCCUGCUUUUGUCAUAUAAAAGGAAAUCGUGGGUGAAGUGUCUCAUUUGAUGUCUGUUUCUCCAUAGGUUGGUGCUGGCCUUCCUGUCAUAGCAUCCUUAAAUCGUAUUCUUUCUUCUGGAGACCCUGUCCAUCGUAUUGUUGGAAGUCUGAGUGGUAUUGGUUUUCUUUUCUUUUCUUUUCUUUUUUUUUUUGGGUUAGACAUUUAUUCUUCCUUCACAUAUGAAGUUCAUGCUUUUCCUGUAUCUGCUUGUAUUUUUUUGCAACCAUAUUUCAUAUAUGAAUAUUGGCUGUCAUUUGCAUAAUAUAUUUUGUAUUAGGUACAUUGGGGUAUGUAAUGAGCAAGGUUGAAGAUGGGAAGCCACUUAGUCAAGUUGUUAAAGCUGCUAAAAGCCUGGGAUACACUGAACCAGGUUUAAUUGUGAUUUUAAAUUUCUAUAUUGCAGUAGAUCAUAUCUUUUCUAUAAGUAUAUUCAGUUGCAUCUUCUAAUUUUGUUUAUGCAUGCUUACAAAUUUAUAUUAAAAUAUUUACACAAUUUAAUUCUUAUUAUUUUUCGUUUAUGGACUUUUUUUUUUUGGCUGUAAUAUUGUUUUUCCAAAUAUUCAUGCAUUAAGCAUUGUUCUUUUCAGCAUUGUUUACCAUUGACCAGUGCUUUGGAAACUUGAAGCAAAAGUUUCUUCAAUUUGGUUUGGAUUAUUAAAACACAGGAAUAGCCUGGUUUGCUUUGGUUACUUUCUUUGUCAGGUUUAUAAAGCUAUCUAAUCCUGUGGGGUAUUUUACACUUUAUGAAUUUGUUGAAGUGACAGACUGAUGACAAUUGAACCCAAGCAACUCAUCGGUACUUGUAAUUAUGGUGGAAUUCCUGAGUUUGUGGUUAUGAAAACUCCAUUAUUAAGCUUUUACGAAGACAACUUCCACAGCUGCAGAGGAGAAGAGAAGCACCAGUGGUCUAGUGGUAGAAUAGCACCCUGCCACGGGGUUCGAUUCCCGGCUGGUGCAUGUAUUUUUGUGGCCUUUUUGCCUUUUGGGGCAUUUGUCAGAAAAUACUAUCUCCACGCGCCUUCGUAAGUCACCAGCUUUUUUAAUUCAUAAAACUCUUGGACUGUCUCCAGAUCCAUAUCUUGUGGAUGUGGUCCAGCCAUCCAGACAAAUCGCAUCUUCGACGCACUUCUUAAUUCCUACCAGUAACCGCCCUUGAGCCUUCCCAUCCAAUUCCAACGAGCUGCCAGCUUAUAAUAACAACAACUUGCUCGGUCAAAGGACGAAAGGACAAACUGUGUCAUUAUUUGUUUUCGGUCAUUUCAAUGUGUGAACACUCACUGACUCACAUCAGAAAGACCAAUAAAUAUCCAUGAAAAUGGGACAUGGCUGCGGCGCAGAAGCUGCAAGUAACAGCUUCAAACCUUCCCAUUUCCAUCACCUUGCAUUGGGACCUCUUUCUCUCUCCUCUGGCACCCGUAGAAGUUCCCCAUUGGCUGCUGUUACUGACAGAAGCCGUAACAUAAUUGAUUCCGAGCUGCCCAUUUCGUACCCCUCUAACAGUCAAACGUUCACAUUAGUGGCGUAGUUCACAUCCCCUACAUUCAUCUGGAUCUAAUUAUAAAUACACACCCCACGAAGCAAAAGACAUUUCAUUUCAGUUGCGAGAGCAGAGCUUAGAGAGAAAAAAAAAGAAAAUGGCAAAAAGUGACGUGAAGGUUUUGGGUUUUUCGCCAAGCCCAUUUGUGAUGAGGGCAAGAAUCGCACUUAAGAUCAAGUCUGUGGAGUAUGAGUUUCUGGAGGAGAAUUUGGGAUCCAAAAGCGAGCUUCUGCUUAAAUCAAACCCUGUUCACAAGAAAAUCCCAGUUCUGAUUCACAAUGAUAAGCCUGUUUGCGAAUCUCUCAUUAUUGUCGAGUACGUGGAUGAGGCUUGGUCCUCUUCAGGUCCCUCUAUUCUUCCUUCUGAUCCUUAUGACCGUGCAGUUGCUCGUUUCUGGGCCGCUUACGUUGAUGAGAAGGUAUAUUUUCCUUUCUUUGUUUUGAAAAAAAUGUUUUAAGUCAAUGCUUUUUAUUCGAAUUAUGUGCAUCUAAAAUUUUUUAAUCUUUUUCAGUUUUGAAAACUGUUUUCGGAAAUUAAUAGAGUCUCUCUUGGUAAAUCAAGGAGGUAAAGCGCGUGAUUGGAAUUAUUUCCGGUGGAAAAAUGAACUUGAAAAGAAAACUAAAGAAAGAUUAAGAAAGCAGAGCCCAAAAGGAAAACAAUCAACACAAUCUAGAAGUAAAUCUGUAGAAGUGACGUAUACUCACAUAUCUAAGGAAACAAAUAUAUAUGAAUCUUAAGAGAUGAUACUGAUAGAGAUUAGAGAGAGAGCAAGAACGAAUCUUCAACUUGACAAAAAGCAUAUAAGAAUCAAUUGGCAGGUAGUGAUUGAAAUCUGGCCUUGAUUGAUCAAAUUAUGAUAUAUCUAUUAUGAUUUGCAGUGGUUCUCUGCCUUGAGAGACAUUGGUAGUGCAAAUGGAGCGGAAGCUAAGAAAGCUGCGAUUGAGCAAUUGAUUGAAGUCUUGGUUUUGCUGGAGGAUGCUUUUGUUAAGUGCAGCAAAGGGAAGC